RNAcentral lists this transfer RNA (54 nucleotides) under Oscheius chongmingensis. RNAcentral describes it as "tRNA-Ser". Lineage: Eukaryota; Metazoa; Nematoda; Chromadorea; Rhabditida; Rhabditidae. The record is from RNAcentral.
AACGAGUUCAUAAACAAGUCUUCUAAAUUUGUUCUAGGCUUAGCCUGCUCGUUU